GCCAGGCACAGUGGUGUGUGCCUGUAGUCCCAGCUACUUGGGAGGCUGAGGCAGAAGAAUUGCUUGAACCCAGGAGGCGAAGGUUGCAGUGAGAUGAGAUCGCACUGCUGCACUCCAGCCUGGGUGACAGAGCAAGACUCUGUCUCAA
Molecule: non-coding RNA, 148 nt
Filed under: Nomascus leucogenys (northern white-cheeked gibbon)
Lineage: Eukaryota; Metazoa; Chordata; Mammalia; Primates; Hylobatidae
Source: Rfam by way of RNAcentral